This 180-nucleotide small nuclear RNA is filed under the name Pogona vitticeps (central bearded dragon). Its description in RNAcentral is "U1 spliceosomal RNA (ENSPVIG00000015243.1)". It matches the Rfam family "U1 spliceosomal RNA". Rfam says of the family: U1 is a small nuclear RNA (snRNA) component of the spliceosome (involved in pre-mRNA splicing). Its 5' end forms complementary base pairs with the 5' splice junction, thus defining the 5' donor site of an intron. There are significant differences in sequence and secondary structure between metazoan and yeast U1 snRNAs, the latter being much longer (568 nucleotides as compared to 164 nucleotides in human). Lineage: Eukaryota; Metazoa; Chordata; Lepidosauria; Squamata; Agamidae. The record is from Rfam by way of RNAcentral.
ACUCAUACCUGGCAGGGGAGAUACCAUGAUCAUCAAAGUGGUUUUCCCAGGGUGAGGCUCAUCUAUUGCACUUUGGAUGUGCUGAUCCCUGUGAUUUCCCCAAAUACAGUGGUGCCUCGUAUAACGAGUGCCCAGUUUAACGAUGAAUUCGCAUAGCGAUGGCAAAAAUGCCAUCGCUUU